GAUGAAGAACGUAGCGAAAUGCGAUACUUGGUGUGAAUUGCAGAAUCCCGUGAACCAUCGAGUCUUUGAACGCAAGUUGCGCCCGAAGCCAUUAGGCCGAGGGCACGCCUGCCUGGGCGUCACACGUCGUUGCCCCCCCAUCUACUCCUUCGGGAUUGCGGGGGGCGGAUGAUGACCUCCCGUGCGCCUCGCCGCGCGGUUGGCAUAAAUGCCAAGUCCUCGGCGACGCACGCCACGACAAUCGGUGGUUGCGAAACCUCGGUUGCCCGUCGUGUGCGGUCGUCGCGCAUCGAGGGCUCGAAAAAAUUGCCGGGUUCCGGCUCGGCUUUCAACGCGACCCCAGGUCAGGCGGGGUUACCCGCUGAAUUUAAGCAUAUCAAUAAGCGGAGGA
RNAcentral lists this unclassified non-coding RNA (391 nucleotides) under soil metagenome. RNAcentral's name for it is "partial contains 5.8S ribosomal RNA, internal transcribed spacer 2, and large subunit ribosomal RNA". The stretch from base 1 to 122 matches the Rfam family "5.8S ribosomal RNA", at positions 35 to 154 of the family's 154-position model. The record is from RNAcentral.